AUGCCGGUAGUCAAAGGCUGGCCCAAACUCACAGUAGAGCUGAAGACAGCCUUGGGGAUGCCUGAUCCCUCUGCUUCUGACCCAAUGAACAGAUUUGGCUGUAUUGGGUGCCUGGUUACCAGGGCUACCGUCUCUGCUUUCCACACAGCAAAGUGGAGAUUGUUGCCAUCAACGACCCCUUCAUUGACCUCCACUACAUGGUCUACAUGUUCCAGUAUGACUCCACCCAUAGCAAAUUCAACAGUACAGUCAAGGCCAAAAAUGGCAAGCUUGACAUCAACGGGAAGCCCAUCACCAUCUUCCAGGAGCGAGACCCCACUAACAUCAAAUGGGGUGAGGCCGGUGCUGAGUAUGUCGUGGAGUCUACUGGCAUCUUCACCACCCUGGAGAAGGCCGGGACCCACUUGAAGGGUGGAGCCAAAAGGGUUAUCAUCUCUGCCCCUUCUGCCGAUGUCCCCAUGUUUGUGAUGGGUGUGAAUCACGAGAAAUAUGACAACUCACUCAAGAUUGUCAGCAAUGCAUCCUGCACCACCAACUGCUUAGCCCCCCUGGCCAAGGUCAUCCAUGACAACUUUGGCAUCAUGGAAGGGCUCAUGACCACAGUUCAUGCCAUCACUGCCACUCAGAAGACUGUGGAUGGUCCCUCUGGAAAGCUGUGGCUUGAUGGCCGUGGGGCUGUUGAGAACAUCAUCCCUGCAUCCACUGGUGCUGCCAAGGGUGUGAGCAAGGUCAUCCCAGAGCUGAACUGGAAGCUCACUGGCAUGGCCUUCCAUGUUCCUACCCCCAAUGUGUCCGUUGUGGAUCUGACGUGCCGCCUGGAGAAACAUGCCAAGUAUGAUGGCAUCAAGAAGGUGGUGAAGUGGGCACCUGAGGACCCACUGAAGGACAUCCUGGGCUACACUGAGGACCAGGUUGUCUCCUGCAACUUCAACAGCAACUCCCACUCUUCCACCUUUGAUGCUGGGGCUGGCAUUUGUUCUCAAUGACAACAUUGUCAAGCUCAUUUCCUGGUAUGACAAUGAAUAUGGCUACAGCAACAGGGAUGGAACUGUGAGCCAGCCAGAUGACUCAGCAGACCUGUCCCUGAGUGUGCGCAUUGCGUACUGUCUGUUGGGAGCCCUGGUGUGCCUGUCCCUGAGUGUUCACACGCUCUGCGAAAGCUGCAUAUCCCUGAGAAUGCGCACACUCUCGAAAAACAACCUGAGCCCUGGUGGGAGAACUGCAGUGUGGGCCCUGCUCUCAGAGGCCACUCCACCUUGUUCUGAGCUCUGGAGGAUGCCACAGAAGGCCAAGGACGGUGGCUCCCCUGAUACUGAAGUAGGCCAUGUGAAGGCAGCCCCAUGA
Non-coding RNA from Mus caroli (Ryukyu mouse), 1344 nucleotides. The record is from RefSeq and is a predicted model, not a curated record. Lineage: Eukaryota; Metazoa; Chordata; Mammalia; Rodentia; Muridae.